Thalassobium sp. R2A62 is the source of this 117-nucleotide regulatory RNA element. It matches the Rfam family "ALIL pseudoknot". The record is from Rfam. NCBI's taxonomy places the organism in Bacteria, Pseudomonadati, Pseudomonadota, Alphaproteobacteria, Rhodobacterales, Paracoccaceae.
AGCGUAUUUUGCUCAGGCGGAGCUCGACCGCCCGUUUCGGAAGUGAUCAGCUUUAUCAAAGAGCAUCGUGAUGUCUGCGGGGUCGAGCCGAUUUGUCGUGUUUUGCAGAUUGCCCCU